ACCCGCUGAACUUAAGCAUAUCAAUAAGCGGAGGAAAAGAAACUAACGAGGAUUCCCCUAGUAACUGCGAGUGAAGCGGGAAAAGCUCAAAUUUAAAAUCUGUUGGCCCUUUGGUCAUCCGAGUUGUAAUUUAGAGAAGCGUCUUCCGCGCUGGACCGUGCAAAAGUCUCCUGGAAUGGAGCGUCGUAGAGGGUGAGAAUCCCGUCUUUGGCAUGGACCCACCAGGGCUUCUGUGAUGCGCUCUCGAAGAGUCGAGUUGUUUGGGAAUGCAGCUCAAAAUGGGUGGUGAACUCCAUCUAAAGCUAAAUAUUGGCGAGAGACCGAUAGCGAACAAGUACCGUGAGGGAAAGAUGAAAAGCACUUUGGAAAGAGAGUGAAACAGUACGUGAAAUUGUUGAAAGGGAAACGCUUCAAGUCAGUCGCGUCGACCGAGACUCAGCCUUGCCUCGGCUUGGUGUACUUCUCGGCUGACGGGUCAGCAUCGAUUUUGCCCCUCGGAUAAUGGCAAGGGGAAAGGUGGCACCUUUUAUAGGUGUGUUAUAGUCUCCUGUCGCAUGCGAGGGUCGGGAUCGAGGAACUCAGCACGCGCCUUUUGGCGUCGGGGCCUUGGCCCACGUUACGUGCUUAGGAUGCUGGCGUAAUGGCUUUAAACGACCCGUCUUGAAACACGGACCAAGGAGUCUAACAUGCCCGCGAGUGUUCGGGUGGAAAACCCGUGCGCGUAAUGAAAGUAAAAGUUGGGACCUCCGUCGUGGAGGGCACCGACGCCCGGACCAGACCUUCUGUGACGGAUCUGCGGUAGAGCGUGCAUGUUGGGACCCGAAAGAUGGUGAACUAUGCCUGAAUAGGGUGAAGCCAGAGGAAACUCUGGUGGAGGCUCGUAGCGAUUCUGACGUGCAAAUCGAUCGUCAAAUUUGGGUAUAGGGGCGAAAGACUAAUCGAACCAU
Molecule: ribosomal RNA, 947 nt
Filed under: Russula glutinosoides
Lineage: Eukaryota; Fungi; Basidiomycota; Agaricomycetes; Russulales; Russulaceae
Description: partial large subunit ribosomal RNA
Rfam family: Eukaryotic large subunit ribosomal RNA
Source: RNAcentral